RNAcentral lists this transfer RNA (65 nucleotides) under Ypthima akragas. RNAcentral describes it as "tRNA-Cys". The record is from RNAcentral. Lineage: Eukaryota; Metazoa; Arthropoda; Insecta; Lepidoptera; Nymphalidae.
AGUCUUAUAUUCAAUAUUUGAUAUAAAAUUGCAAAUUUUAAGGGGUAAUAUAUUUACUAAGGCUU